This 434-nucleotide long non-coding RNA is filed under the name Ananas comosus (pineapple). RNAcentral's name for it is "long non-coding RNA (ACOM_LNC007229)". Lineage: Eukaryota; Viridiplantae; Streptophyta; Magnoliopsida; Poales; Bromeliaceae. The record is from RNAcentral.
GACCUAGUCGCUUCGGUAAACACAACCCACCUUAACUCGCGUUCCGAUUGCUCGUCGUCACUCGCAAUCGGCCUCCCGCGGCGCACACCGCUCGGCUCGACCCGAACCACGCGCGACCAUCGAACGACCACCAAUCCGCGAUCCGUCUAUUCUGGAGUUAUUCCCCGAUACCACGAUGCUACAAUUUCAUUUUCAUGAUUUUUUGGAAGCUUUCGCCGCAAGCUGCGGCAAUCUGUACCUUAACGGCUUCGUUCUUUAAUAUCUCCGCGUACGCUCGUCGUAUCGCCGAACCGACUUCCCCAACGCGUCAGUAAAUCUAGCAAUUAGGUUUAUACAUGAUCAAUUUAGAUCAAAACUCCUCACAAGAAAAACCCCUCUUUUGAUGCCCUAACAUACAACUAUGCAAGAAUUCAUCAUUUGAUCUCUAAAUUCGA